CCGGCCUGUGCGCAGUUCCCGUGCCCUAGGAGUUGGCGGCGGGGCCCAGCCGAGAAUCUUCUUCCCUUCUGGUCUGACUAGGAAAGCCAGAGGGAGAUGGUGAAGGAGACAGAGAGAGAGAGUGAAAGAACGGACCAUGCCCAGCCUCUCCACUGCAGGAGCUUGGAAUCAGUUCCUUUCUCAGGAACCUGACCAUCAGGCCUCCCAGAAAGUAUCGAGAAACUGAAACAUCUCAGAUCAUGGCAUCUGGACAAUGAGACACACCUGCUGCCUGUUGACCAACUCCUCUUGCUUACCCCUUCCUAACUCCCCACUAUAUAAACCUUUUAUUUUAGUUAGCUUAGACUUGUUUCCCAUCUCUCAGCUGACAUCAUCUGUCAUAGAGCCUUUGUUCCCUGGCAA
Molecule: long non-coding RNA, 402 nt
Filed under: Pongo abelii (Sumatran orangutan)
Lineage: Eukaryota; Metazoa; Chordata; Mammalia; Primates; Hominidae
Description: lincRNA
Source: RNAcentral